GAUGAACGCUGGCGGCGUGCUUAACACAUGCAAGUCGAACGAUGAAGCCCAGCUUGCUGGGUGGAUUAGUGGCGAACGGGUGAGUAACACGUGAGUAACCUGCCCUUAACUCUGGGAUAAGCCUGGGAAACUGGGUCUAAUACCGGAUAGGAGCGCCUACCGCAUGGUGGGUGUUGGAAAGAUUUAUCGGUUUUGGAUGGACUCGCGGCCUAUCAGCUUGUUGGUGAGGUAAUGGCUCACCAAGGCGACGACGGGUAGCCGGCCUGAGAGGGUGACCGGCCACACUGGGACUGAGACACGGCCCAGACUCCUACGGGAGGCAGCAGUGGGGAAUAUUGCACAAUGGGCGAAAGCCUGAUACAGCGACGCCGCGUGAGGGAUGACGGCCUUCGGGUUGUAAACCUCUUUCAGUAGGGAAGAAGCGAAAGUGACGGUACCUGCAGAAGAAGCACCGGCUAACUACGUG
This 466-nucleotide ribosomal RNA is filed under the name uncultured bacterium. Its description in RNAcentral is "partial 16S ribosomal RNA". It matches the Rfam family "Bacterial small subunit ribosomal RNA", at positions 28 to 507 of the family's 1533-position model. The record is from RNAcentral.